This 549-nucleotide ribosomal RNA is filed under the name uncultured Glomeromycotina. Its description in RNAcentral is "SSU rRNA". It matches the Rfam family "Eukaryotic small subunit ribosomal RNA", at positions 548 to 1098 of the family's 1831-position model. Lineage: Eukaryota; Fungi; Glomeromycota. The record is from RNAcentral.
UUGGAGGGCAAGUCUGGUGCCAGCAGCCGCGGUAAUUCCAGCUCCAAUAGCGUAUAUUAAAGUUGUUGCAGUUAAAAAGCUCGUAGUUGAAUUUCGGGGUUAGUAGGUUGGUCAUGCUUCUGGUAUGUACUGGUCUCACUGAUUCCUCCUUCCUGAUGAACCUUAAUGCCAUUAAUUUGGUGUUUUGGGGAAUUUGGACUGUUACUUUGAAAAAAUUAGAGUGUUUAAAGCAAGCUAACGCUUGAAUACAUUAGCAUGGAAUAAUGAAAUAGGACGUUCGAUCCUAUUUUGUUGGUUUCUAGGAUUGACGUAAUGAUUAAUAGGGAUAGUUGGGGGCAUUAGUAUUCAAUUGUCAGAGGUGAAAUUCUUGGAUUUAUUGAAGACUAACUACUGCGAAAGCGUUUGCCAAGGAUGUUUUCAUUAAUCAAGAACGAAAGUUAGGGGAUCGAAGACGAUCAGAUACCGUCGUAGUCUUAACCAUAAACUAUGCCGACUAGGGAUCGGAUGAUGUUAAUUUUUUAAUGACUCAUUCGGCGCCUUACGGGAAAC